This 654-nucleotide long non-coding RNA is filed under the name Oryctolagus cuniculus (rabbit). RNAcentral's name for it is "lncRNA (ENSOCUG00000039057.1)". The record is from RNAcentral. Lineage: Eukaryota; Metazoa; Chordata; Mammalia; Lagomorpha; Leporidae.
AUGGAGGCCCCAGGACUAGAGGACGCCAUGCACCAUGCAGUUUCGCCUCCGUCUGUGGGACCACUUCUUCGUCUGAAACAGAAGAAAAGCUUUGGGGUUUCUGGAAUGUGGAUUUACAUAGGCCCUGGAACACGUGAACACUCAGUUGACUUCCAACACAGAAAGGCCAAGGGAAGCCUUAGGCACCUUCUCACUCCACACAAACCUCCAAGGAGUUUGAAGUCCUCAGGUCCACCUGCAUCCCCUCUCUACCCUGUAUCGCUAACUCACAUCAGCGUCCUUGCCCUGGAAGAUAGCCAUUUAUUUAUCCGUCUUAUUCGGCCUACAGCCAAAAGAGCAAAUGCUUCCAAUAGAAGAGCUUCAGGAACAAACUGGUACCGUCAAGGGGUAGACUUGGGGGACAGAGAUGCAGCAGAGAGACCAUUCGCUUUCCUGGUCAGCAGAGAGGCAAAACAAAGGAUGAGUCAGCACGAGACAGUGGUUCCAGUACAACUUCUUAGGACAUCGGCAAGUCCCUUUCUUGUCCUCUUGCUUGGGGUCAGUCUCUCUUUUGUCUGUGGAAGCCUUUGUAGUCACCCCAAAUCGAGCUUGUAUUGUAUUGCACAAUUGCUUAUUAGUUCCAUGUUUCUGGCCAUCUCAGCUUCCACACAAUGA